AUCGUAAACGAUGGCUAAUACCGCAUGAUGCCUACGGGCCAAAGAGGGGGACCUUCGGGCCUCUCGCGUCAGGAUAUGCCUAGGUGGGAUUAGCUAGUUGGUGAGGUAAGGGCUCACCAAGGCGACGAUCCCUAGCUGGUCUGAGAGGAUGAUCAGCCACACUGGAACUGAGACACGGUCCAGACUCCUACGGGAGGCAGCAGUGGGGAAUAUUGCACAAUGGGCGCAAGCCUGAUGCAGCCAUGCCGCGUGUGUGAAGAAGGCCUUCGGGUUGUAAAGCACUUUCAGUCGUGAGGAAGGUGGUGGAGUUAAUAGCUGAAUUAUUUGACGUUAGCGACAGAAGAAGCACCGGCUAACUCCGUGCCAGCAGCCGCGGUAAUACGGAGGGUGCGAGCGUUAAUCGGAAUUACUGGGCGUAAAGCGCAUGCAGGUGGUUUGUUAAGUCAGAUGU
Molecule: ribosomal RNA, 451 nt
Filed under: Vibrio sp. BTED48
Lineage: Bacteria; Pseudomonadati; Pseudomonadota; Gammaproteobacteria; Vibrionales; Vibrionaceae
Description: bacterial SSU rRNA
Rfam family: Bacterial small subunit ribosomal RNA
Source: RNAcentral